Molecule: ribosomal RNA, 611 nt
Filed under: Kluyvera sp. 6hR10
Lineage: Bacteria; Pseudomonadati; Pseudomonadota; Gammaproteobacteria; Enterobacterales; Enterobacteriaceae
Description: bacterial SSU rRNA
Rfam family: Bacterial small subunit ribosomal RNA
Source: RNAcentral
UUGGGUGACGAGUGGCGGACGCGGUUGAGUAAUGUCUGGGAAACUGCCCGAUGGAGGGGGAUAACUACUGGAAACGGUAGCUAAUACCGCAUAACGUCGCAAGACCAAAGUGGGGGACCUUCGGGCCUCACACCAUCGGAUGUGCCCAGAUGGGAUUAGCUAGUAGGUGGGGUAAUGGCUCACCUAGGCGACGAUCCCUAGCUGGUCUGAGAGGAUGACCAGCCACACUGGAACUGAGACACGGUCCAGACUCCUACGGGAGGCAGCAGUGGGGAAUAUUGCACAAUGGGCGCAAGCCUGAUGCAGCCAUGCCGCGUGUAUGAAGAAGGCCUUCGGGUUGUAAAGUACUUUCAGCGAGGAGGAAGGCAUUAAGGUUAAUAACCUUGGUGAUUGACGUUACUCGCAGAAGAAGCACCGGCUAACUCCGUGCCAGCAGCCGCGGUAAUACGGAGGGUGCAAGCGAUAAUCGGAAUUACUGGGCGUAAAGCGCACGCAGGCGGUCUGUCAAGUCGGAUGUGAAAUCCCCGGGCUCAACCUGGGAACUGCAUUCGAAACUGGCAGGCUAGAGUCUUGUAGAGGGGGGGUAGAAUUUCCAGGUGUAUCGGUGAAAU